CUCAGGAGUAGACGCUAGCGGCAGGCGUUAACACAUGCAGUCGAGGGGCGAUCGGAGGGAAGCUUGCUUCCUUCGCGGCGACCGGCGCACGGGUGAGUUAACACGUAUGCAACCUGCCCUCUUCAGGGGGACAACCUUCCGAAGGGAGGCUAAUCCCGCGUAUAUCGGUUUCGGGCAUCCGAGAUCGAGGAAAGAUUCAUCGGAAGAGGAUGGGCAUGCGGCGCAUUAGCUUGACGGCGGGGUAACGGCCCACCGUGGCGACGAUGCGUAGGGGUUCUGAGAGGAAGGUCCCCCACACUGGUACUGAGACACGGACCAGACUCUACGGGAGGCAGCAGUGAGGAAUAUUGGUCAAUGGGAGAGAUCCUGAACCAGCCAAGCCGCGUGAGGGAAGACGGCCCUAUGGGUUGUAAACCUCUUUUGUCGGAGAACAAAACCCGGGACGUGUCCCGGACUGCGUGUAUCCGAAGAAAAAGCAUCGGCUAACUCCGUG
Molecule: ribosomal RNA, 493 nt
Filed under: uncultured Bacteroidota bacterium
Lineage: Bacteria; Pseudomonadati; Bacteroidota
Description: bacterial SSU rRNA
Rfam family: Bacterial small subunit ribosomal RNA
Source: RNAcentral